RNAcentral lists this ribosomal RNA (541 nucleotides) under Lactococcus lactis. Its description in RNAcentral is "bacterial SSU rRNA". It matches the Rfam family "Bacterial small subunit ribosomal RNA", at positions 95 to 624 of the family's 1533-position model. Lineage: Bacteria; Bacillati; Bacillota; Bacilli; Lactobacillales; Streptococcaceae. The record is from RNAcentral.
GCAGCGAACGGGUGAGUAACGCGUGGGGAAUCUGCCUUUGAGCGGGGGACAACAUUUGGAAACGAAUGCUAAUACCGCAUAAAAACUUUAAACACAAGUUUUAAGUUUGAAAGAUGCAAUUGCAUCACUCAAAGAUGAUCCCGCGUUGUAUUAGCUAGUUGGUGAGGUAAAGGCUCACCAAGGCGAUGAUACAUAGCCGACCUGAGAGGGUGAUCGGCCACAUUGGGACUGAGACACGGCCCAAACUCCUACGGGAGGCAGCAGUAGGGAAUCUUCGGCAAUGGACGAAAGUCUGACCGAGCAACGCCGCGUGAGUGAAGAAGGUUUUCGGAUCGUAAAACUCUGUUGGUAGAGAAGAACGUUGGUGAGAGUGGAAAGCUCAUCAAGUGACGGUAACUACCCAGAAAGGGACGGCUAACUACGUGCCAGCAGCCGCGGUAAUACGUAGGUCCCGAGCGUUGUCCGGAUUUAUUGGGCGUAAAGCGAGCGCAGGUGGUUUAUUAAGUCUGGUGUAAAAGGCAGUGGCUCAACCAUUGUAUGC